This 398-nucleotide ribosomal RNA is filed under the name Streptomyces novaecaesareae. RNAcentral's name for it is "bacterial SSU rRNA". It matches the Rfam family "Bacterial small subunit ribosomal RNA", at positions 111 to 523 of the family's 1533-position model. The record is from RNAcentral. Lineage: Bacteria; Bacillati; Actinomycetota; Actinomycetes; Kitasatosporales; Streptomycetaceae.
UAACACGUGGGCGAUCUGCCCUGCACUCUGGGACAAGCCCUGGAAACGGGGUCUAAUACCGGAUAUGACCUUCCUCCGCAUGGGGGUUGGUGUAAAGCUCCGGCGGUGCAGGAUGAGCCCGCGGCCUAUCAGCUUGUUGGUGGGGUAAUGGCCUACCAAGGCGACGACGGGUAGCCGGCCUGAGAGGGCGACCGGCCACACUGGGACUGAGACACGGCCCAGACUCCUACGGGAGGCAGCAGUGGGGAAUAUUGCACAAUGGGCGAAAGCCUGAUGCAGCGACGCCGCGUGAGGGAUGACGGCCUUCGGGUUGUAAACCUCUUUCAGCAGGGAAGAAGCGCAAGUGACGGUACCUGCAGAAGAAGCACCGGCUAACUACGUGCCAGCAGCCGCGGUAA